Molecule: ribosomal RNA, 253 nt
Filed under: uncultured bacterium
Lineage: Bacteria
Description: partial 16S ribosomal RNA
Rfam family: Bacterial small subunit ribosomal RNA
Source: RNAcentral
UACGUAGGGUGCAAGCGUUGUCCGGAAUUAUUGGGCGUAAAGAGCUCGUAGGCGGUUUGUCGCGUCUGCUGUGAAAACUCAGGGCUUAACCCUGAGCCUGCAGUGGGUACGGGCAGACUAGAGUGUGGUAGGGGAGAUCGGAAUUCCUGGUGUAGCGGUGGAAUGCGCAGAUAUCAGGAGGAACACCAAUGGCGAAGGCAGAUCUCUGGGCCGUAACUGACGCUGAGGAGCGAAAGCAUGGGGAGCGAACAGG